AUGUGGUUGCUGGGAAUUGAACUUAGAA
This 28-nucleotide non-coding RNA is filed under the name Cricetulus griseus (Chinese hamster). Lineage: Eukaryota; Metazoa; Chordata; Mammalia; Rodentia; Cricetidae. The record is from RNAcentral.